Molecule: long non-coding RNA, 902 nt
Filed under: Rhinopithecus bieti (black snub-nosed monkey)
Lineage: Eukaryota; Metazoa; Chordata; Mammalia; Primates; Cercopithecidae
Description: lncRNA (ENSRBIG00000045974.1)
Source: RNAcentral
UAGAUGGAAGACAUAUGCUAUCUAUAUUUUUUGGAGUUAGAAACAUCUCGUGACGUUCAAACAGGAACUUGGAAAAGGUCAAGUAGGAGUACUUGCCUGUAACAACACUAUGAUGUAGAUACUGUUAUUACUUCUACUUCUUAGGGAAAUAAAUUAACCUAGAAAAUGGGUAGAACUGAGCUUGGCAAACAUGCAGUUUGAUACUUACAUUAGCAACAAACUGUCCUGCCUCCUAAAUUGUGUGACUGCGAUUCCUUAAAGGGUAGAAUGAGCAGAUAGGCAGGAGACAAAGUUGUAUCCCUGUUUUAGUGUAGGGCUUUGUUAGCGAUCAUUCAAUUUUCCCUCACUUUCUACUUUAUACCUAUAGUCACACUAUUAUUAUCUCCUGCAUAUGCCACACUCUUGUACUCCAUUUGGUUAGUUUCAUUAGUGUUUAUAAUGAUUUCACAGCACCGGUUGCAUACGUUGGGAAAAUGUAUGCACUUAAUUGUCACAGGGCAAGAAACUUAGCUGAUGGAGGUGAGAUGAUGAAGUGCUCUGAGAAGAUCACUCAGAAGAAAAGGAUGUGGAGUAAUAUGAAAAGGAAGAUUUCCUACCUAGGAAACAGGAGAUCAGAGGAUAGAACAAGAAUCAGAGAUAUGUUCUUAAAUAUGCAGAACAGGUCUGCUUCUGGGGAAACAAAACCUCAGUAUUUUCAGAAAUAUAUACUUGGAGUAUGUCAUGUAUUAAUGGGUAAAGACGCCAUGGAUAUGAAGGAGAUUACCUAUGGAAGAAUAUUAAGAAGAAAAGAAGGUAAAGAAUCUUCCUUGAGGAACAUCACAUUUAAAGGUCAGGGAGAAGAUAUAUCAGUAGGAGCAUCAGAGGGAGUUGUGGACAAAAUAUUUUCAAAAAUUAAGAUGUGA